This 1805-nucleotide long non-coding RNA is filed under the name Homo sapiens (human). RNAcentral describes it as "LHRI_LNC1377.11". The record is from RNAcentral. Lineage: Eukaryota; Metazoa; Chordata; Mammalia; Primates; Hominidae.
CCGAGAGCUAAUUUGUUAAGUAUACUUGCAAAAGGUAGAUGAGGAGACAGAUAAAAUCUUAUUACCUCUUUCAGAUGAGAGGCACUUGAGCCCUGCUCAGCUAUGAGAAUAAGAGAGGGGAAUUAAUUCUAAUUGAAUACACUUGUUCUCUUAUAGCUGUUGUUCCCCACCAGAACCAAAUGAGCGCAAGAUCUGACAAAGAAAAAAAAAGGUUCAUCUUUUAUUCCUCCAAACACUUUCAUUUAAAUCAAGAGGAUGGGAUGUGGUUAUUGCUGUGUUUUUAGACAGAAUCAACGGUUUCUGGGUCUGAGAUGUUGCAUACACCUUCUCAGUCCCUGUAUCCUGAGAUGGAGUCACCUGAGAAUCCACAGCAAGUCCUAACCAGGGAUGGGUCUGGGUGAUUAAGGAAGGUUGGCUUCAGAACUGGGCCAGGGGCACUGCUUUGCUUUUGCUGUUUUGAUCAGCUCUCUGCCUGAAGGAGACAAGAAAAACCAACGGGAACAGCCCAGUAAAGGCGCCAUUCCCCAUUUUACAGCUGGGGAAACUGAGUUACAGAGCUUGUCUGCACUGAGUCAUCAGGAGCAAAUGCUAGAUCAGGCCAGAGUGCAGUUGACGCAGGGCAGGGGAGCCCCGAAGUGGAGCAUAGUGUGUCCGGAACUGGUGGGUUCUUGGUCUCACUGACUUCAAGAAAGAAGCCGCGGACCCUCGCGAAACUCCUGGAGGGCAGAGGCAUGCCUGCCAUCUUCAUCAUUGCAUUACCACCACCCAACACUAUCGGGGGACCUGCCCUGAUAAUCAGUCUACAGGUGUAUCCAGCAGCUCCAGAGAGACAGCGACCAGCGAGAAGGGGCCAUGAUGAUGGAGGUGGUUUUGUCAAAACGAAAAUGGGGAUAUGUAGGGAAAAGAAAGAGAGAUCAGACUGUUACUGUGUCUACAUAGAAAGGGAAGACAUAAGAGACUCCAUUUUGAAAAAGACCUGUACUUUAAACAAUUGCUUUGCUGAGAUGUUGUUAAUCUGUAGCUUUGCCCCAGCCACUUUGCCCCAACCACUUUGACCCAAUCUGGAGCUCAUAAAAACAUGUGUUGUAUGAAAUCAAGGUUUAAGGCAUGUAGGGCUGUGCAGGACGUGCCUUGUUAACCAAAUGUUUGCAAGCAGUAUACUUGGUAAAAGUCAUCACCAUUCUCUCAUCUCAAUAAACCAGGGGCACAAUGCACUGUGGAAAGCCGCAGGGACCUCUGCCCUUGAAAGCUGGGUAUUGUCCAAAGUUCCUCCCCAUGUGAUAGUCUGAAAUAUGGCCUCGUGGGAUGAGAAAGACCUGACGGUCCCCCAGCGCGACACCCAUAAAAGAUCUGUGCUGAGGUGGAUUAGUCAAAGAGGAAAGACUUGCAGUUGAGAUAGAGGAAGGCCACUGUCUCCUGACUGCCCCUGGGAACUGAAUGUCUCGGUAUAAAACACGAUUGUACAUUUGUUCAGUUCUGAGAUGGGAGAAAAACCGCCCUAUGGUGGGAGGCGAGACAUGUUUACAGCAAUGCUGCCUUGUUAUCCUUUACUCCACUGAGAUGUCUGGGUGGAGAGAAACAUAAAUCUGGCUUACAUGCACGUCCAGUCAUAGUACCUUCCCUUGAACUUCAUUAUGACAUGGAUUCUAUUGCUCACGUUUGUUGCUGACCUUCUCCUUAUUAUCACCCUGCCCUCCUACUACAUUCCUUUUUGCUGAAAUAAUGAAGAUAAUAAUCAAUAAAAACUGAGGGAAUUCAGAGACCUGUGCCAGUGCAGGUCCUUAGCAUGCUAAGCGCCGGUCCCC